Molecule: transfer RNA, 77 nt
Filed under: Podarcis lilfordi (Lilford's wall lizard)
Lineage: Eukaryota; Metazoa; Chordata; Lepidosauria; Squamata; Lacertidae
Description: tRNA.Thr
Rfam family: tRNA (bases 8-66)
About the family: Transfer RNA (tRNA) molecules are approximately 80 nucleotides in length.
Source: RNAcentral
GCCUAGUUAGCUCAGUUGGCUAGAGCGUGGUGCUGGUAAUGCCAAGGUUGCAGGUUUGAUUCCCGUUAUAUGGGACA